This 579-nucleotide ribosomal RNA is filed under the name Neoscytalidium dimidiatum. RNAcentral's name for it is "eukaryotic LSU rRNA". The stretch from base 209 to 362 matches the Rfam family "5.8S ribosomal RNA". The record is from RNAcentral. RNAcentral also lists the same sequence under 1 other name. Lineage: Eukaryota; Fungi; Ascomycota; Dothideomycetes; Botryosphaeriales; Botryosphaeriaceae.
UCCGUAGGUGAACCUGCGGAAGGAUCAUUACCGAGUUGAUUCGGGCUCCGGCCCGAUCCUCCCACCCUUUGUGUACCCACCUCUGUUGCUUUGGCGGGCCGCGGUCCUCCGCGGCCGCCCUCCGUCCGGGGGGUGGCCAGCGCCCGCCAGAGGACCAUCAAACUCCGGUCAGUGAACGUUGCCGUCUGAAAAACAAUCAAUAAACUAAAACUUUCAACAACGGAUCUCUUGGUUCUGGCAUCGAUGAAGAACGCAGCGAAAUGCGAUAAGUAAUGUGAAUUGCAGAAUUCAGUGAAUCAUCGAAUCUUUGAACGCACAUUGCGCCCCUCGGUAUUCCGAGGGGCAUGCCUGUUCGAGCGUCAUUACAACCCUCAAGCUCUGCUUGGUGUUGGGCACCGCCCUUCCGCGGGCGCGCCUCAAAGACCUCGGCGGUGGCGUCUUGCCUCGAGCGUAGUAGAAAACACCUCGCUUUGGAGCGCACGGCGCCGCCCGCCGGACGAACCUUUUGAACUUUCUCAAGGUUGACCUCGGAUCAGGUAGGGAUACCCGCUGAACUUAAGCAUAUCAAUAAGCGGAGGA